RNAcentral lists this ribosomal RNA (267 nucleotides) under uncultured bacterium. Its description in RNAcentral is "partial 16S ribosomal RNA". It matches the Rfam family "Bacterial small subunit ribosomal RNA", at positions 793 to 1055 of the family's 1533-position model. The record is from RNAcentral.
GUCCACGCCCUAAACGAUGUCAACUGGUUGUUGGGUCCUUCACUGACUCAGUAACGAAGCUAACGCGUGAAGGUUGACCGCCUGGGGAGUACGGCCGCAAAGGUUGAAACUCGAAAGGAAUUGACGGGGACCCGCACAAGCGGUGGAUGAUGUGGUUUAAUUCGAUGCAACGCGAAAACCUUACCCACCUUUGACAUGUACGGAAUUCGCCAGAGAUGGCUUAGUGCUCGAAAGAGAGCCGUAACACAGGUGCUGCAUGGCUGUCGU